This 65-nucleotide non-coding RNA is filed under the name Coleofasciculus chthonoplastes PCC 7420. RNAcentral's name for it is "Microcoleus chthonoplastes PCC 7420 Nitrogen stress-induced RNA 4". It matches the Rfam family "Nitrogen stress-induced RNA 4". From Rfam's summary of the family: Former name SyR12, is a cyanobacterial non-coding RNA which plays role in the regulation of Glutamine synthetase (GS), a key enzyme in biological nitrogen assimilation. Lineage: Bacteria; Bacillati; Cyanobacteriota; Cyanophyceae; Coleofasciculales; Coleofasciculaceae. The record is from Rfam by way of RNAcentral.
AAAGAACGUAAUCUAAUACUACCCUCCGAUUGCUUAAUUCCACCGCCUAGUGUUAGAGGCGGUUU